RNAcentral lists this ribosomal RNA (301 nucleotides) under uncultured bacterium. Its description in RNAcentral is "partial 16S ribosomal RNA". It matches the Rfam family "Bacterial small subunit ribosomal RNA", at positions 509 to 807 of the family's 1533-position model. The record is from RNAcentral.
CAGUCGCCACGGUAAUACGAAGGGGGCUAGCGUUGUUCGGAAUUACUGGGCGUAAAGCGCACGUAGGCGGAUAUUUAAGUCAGGGGUGAAAUCCCAGAGCUCAACUCUGGAACUGCCUUUGAUACUGGGUAUCUUGAGUAUGGAAGAGGUGAGUGGAAUUCCGAGUGUAGAGGUGAAAUUCGUAGAUAUUCGGAGGAACACCAGUGGCGAAGGCGGCUCACUGGUCCAUUACUGACGCUGAGGUGCGAAAGCGUGGGGAGCAAACAGGAUUAGAUACCCCCGUAGUCCCUGUCUCUUAUAC